Mytilus californianus (California mussel) is the source of this 709-nucleotide long non-coding RNA. RefSeq lists it as uncharacterized. The transcript has 3 exons. NCBI's taxonomy places the organism in Eukaryota, Metazoa, Mollusca, Bivalvia, Mytilida, Mytilidae. The record is from RefSeq and is a predicted model, not a curated record.
AUCAUAAGUUGUUUUGUUCAGUUUCUGAAUUAAAGUUCAAUUUAUUAUUCAACAUUUAGAAAACUAAAACAGAAAACUGGAGAUGAAAUUCAAUACUUAUAAUGAACUGAACAACAAAAGGAAGAAAAAUCAAGAAAACAGUGUGCCGUCUUCCAGUAGGUCUCUACUCCUCCCAACGGAAUGAAAAUUUACAUAAGAUCCUAUCUACAAGGAAUUAUAAACUACGAGUUGAUCUAGAAGACUGGAACGGUGAGAUGCGGUAUGCUGAAUAUGAUACGUUUGUUGUAGGCAAUGAAGCUACUUAUUACGUACUCACUAUUGCAAAUUAUAAUGGAAAUGCUGGAGACAUCCUUACUGCACAAGAUUUAUCAUUCCCACCAAAUGGAUAUGGGUUCUCAAUAUGGGAUAGGGACAAUGAUGGAUCAUCCUUUAUAAAUUGUGGAGAGAAAGAAUAUGCUGGCUGGUGGCUCAAUUGGUGUACUGAGGGCAGCCUAAAUGGGCAGUAUUACAAUGGUGGAAUGAUUGAGAGAGACGGGAUUUACUGGGAAGCUUGGAAACUCUCAAAAUAUUCUCUAAGGAAUGUAUCGAUGAAAAUUAAACAAAUUUAAACAUUUUCAUAUGCGACUGAUGGAGAAAAUUGAAUACGAAUUGUGCAUAUAAAUUAAAUGAUACACGAAAGAGUAAGUUCUUUUGAGAAGAAAAGGUAGAU